Molecule: ribosomal RNA, 2259 nt
Filed under: Triticum aestivum (bread wheat)
Lineage: Eukaryota; Viridiplantae; Streptophyta; Magnoliopsida; Poales; Poaceae
Description: partial small subunit ribosomal RNA
Source: RNAcentral
UUAGCCAGGCACUCAAAGGGUUGUUAAACCUACCACCGUUUCUCACGCAAGAAAGAAGUGUGCCUAUCUGGCUGGAGGCUGAGGGCACUCACAGGCGACCCGCACCACACGGUACUGGGGGCGGGACGAAGGGGAGCGGGGGAGCGGAGGAAUAGGUUUCGGUGGUGCCGAUACGGUGUUUGGGUCGGGGCGCGCGGGCGAGAUGGCCACGCUGCGGUGUGCGGCGCUGAAGCGACAGAUGUGGCGGAGGCGACGGCGUCGGCGUUACUCGGGGCGGCGGCGAUGACGCCGUCUACUCCGCGAGGGAAGCCGCAGUGGGAGUGGCUGCGGAGUGGGAGGUUUGCCGCCCCGAUGGAGCAACGACCAGCCGUAGCGUUUGUGCUCCAGCACCAGCGUCAUGAUGCCGUCGCCGAAGAGGUAGGCGCACGGCGGCAGGAAGCUACUGUAGAACCUCGGGCUCCUAAAGUCGCGGCGGUACUGGAUAAUACCGCUGUUCCGGUUCCAGUCCCGCAUGCGUCGAGCCAAGCGUAGAGGUCUAUCCAAUCUUGAACAUUCGCACCAUUAGUUCGGUAGAUUAGUCGAGUUCUAGUGUAAGGAUCUCCGGUUUCUAUAUUGUCUCAACCCGUGAGAUUUCCUCCGCAGGUUCAAUAAACAUGGACCGCCACGUUUUUAUAUGAGUCGAGCUUGUUAAUUUCAAUUCCUAGUCCUCCCAUAGUCCUGCAUAAUGAAGAUACUUAAAGCAAAACUGUCUGUUGUACAACGAGAUUACCGGUGGCACCUAUCACCCUUCCCUUUCCGACGCAUGAUAUCUGGGUUUCACCAGCCUGGGAAGGGGCUGGGACGCGUUCGCCCUCGAUGUACGUGGCCCGACGGGAAAAGUAGUACGUAAAACACAACGAUGAAAGAAAUCAGGAACGUCGACAUAAGAUCUAAGAAUUUGAUAUUUAAAUAUAGGAUGAUUACAGGGGUUCGUAAGUAGGUAAACAAGCAAGGAAGAACUUAUACCGCACUUGGCUAUUUGUGUUUUUGUUACGUACUCAGCAAACCUCCGUAGUGUGGAUGAGAUGAGGGUCCGUAAUAAAGAGCGCGAACAUUACAAGAAAAGAGACAAAGGCCAUUUUAAAUAACAGCCCGAAGGACAUACCAAAAGUUGAUUUUCUUGUUCACGUGUAUUGUAACUAUACAAGUCGACUUUCUGACGAUAUCGAUCUAGAACAGUCUUAUUAAAGAAAAACUCUUUGAAAGUCUGAUUACAGUAUUGGAAUAUUCUGUUCAUUAAAAAGAGCAAGAAAAAAAGGUCUCAUCUUAUAAAAGACAAUUAAAGACUAAAAAAAUGGAACACUUCAUAAACACAACGUGGCACAUUGUACGUAACAGUAACCACCGUCUGUAUAUAGCGACGGCGGUGACGAGGUCUCUGCUCCACCCUCUGCCUACCUCACUGUAACGCGAGCCGACGACAUAGAUACAGAGAGCGUACUAGAUUUACGAGAAUAUAAUACCCUGUCUCCCUCAUGAUAAAUAUAUAAUAUCUUGAUGCCAUAAUGUCGUAGAACUCAUCUCAAUAGGCCAAAAAAAGAGAUUUUAACUUGGGGUCUACAGACUGGAAGUCGAACUUCAGCUAGUUCUUAUAAUUUAAAUGUUAAAUGUCGUACACCCCAUCGAUCGAUGAGGGAGGUAGGCCAUUUCGAACAGUCCGCGUGUCAUGUUGCUUACAAAACGUUUUCAUUGGAGUAUGAAGGUUUCUGAACUGUUUUGUCGGUCCAGAGGCAGGAAGACGGAGGCGGGCACGCAACGAUCCCCGGACGCGACAGCCUAAGGCGGCGGCACGACCACUAAGGUCGCGAGCGUCGGGUGGUCGGAGGCGGGUGGGCGCGCUAGAGCCGCGGUUACACGCACUAAGGUGGCGGCGGCGGGUGGGCACACUAAAGCCGCGGUUGGAUGCGGCGUGCUGGAAGUGAGCACGAUGGCGAGUGGACACACUAAGUCAGCGGGUCCCACAACCACCUCAGCGAGGAAGGGGCGACGACCACCUUAGCGGUGGGCUCGGACUCGAGCAGCGGCUCAAGGGCGGAGACGACAACCAUGAGAACCCCUACCGUACUACUAAACGAUCAAAAACCUUUGUAAGUUAGUCCUUUAGUUCUUUAACUAGUACUACUAGGCGAUCAAAAACUUUGUCAGUUAGUCCUCUAGUACUACUGGAUGAUGAAAACCUUUGUUAGUUUGUCAGUUAGUCAGUUAAAAACCUUUGUUAUU